GCCCAUGUCCCCAUCUGGCGAAGGGACCGGACUGUCGAUCCGGAAAGGCGGGUUCGAUUCCCGUCAUGGGCGCCA
RNAcentral lists this transfer RNA (75 nucleotides) under Bradyrhizobium oligotrophicum. Its description in RNAcentral is "tRNA-Asp". It matches the Rfam family "tRNA". Rfam says of the family: Transfer RNA (tRNA) molecules are approximately 80 nucleotides in length. RNAcentral also lists the same sequence under 1 other name. Lineage: Bacteria; Pseudomonadati; Pseudomonadota; Alphaproteobacteria; Hyphomicrobiales; Nitrobacteraceae. The record is from RNAcentral.